GGGGAGUCCGGCCGCAAGGAAGAACCUCAAAGGAAUUGACGGGGGCCCGCACAAGCGGUGGAGCAUGUGGUUUAAUUUGAAGCUACGCGAAGACCCUUACCAGGUCUUGACAUACUAUGCAAAUCUAAGAGAUUAGACGUUCCCUUCGGGGACAUGGAUACAGGUGGUGCAUGGUUGUCGUCAGCUCGUGUCGUGAGAUGUUGGGUUAAGUCCCGCAACGAGCGCAACCCUUAUUAUCAGUUGCCAGCAUUAAGUUGGGCACUCUGGUGAGACUGCCGGUGACAAACCGGAGGAAGGUGGGGAUGACGUCAAAUCAUCAUGCCCCUUAUGACCUGGGCUACACACGUGCUACAAUGGAUGGUACAACGAGUUGCGAACUCGCGAGAGUAAGCUAAUCUCUUAAAGCCAUUCUCAGUUCGGAUUGUAGGCUGCAACUCGCCUACAUGAAGUCGGAAUCGCUAGUAAUCGCGGAUCAGCAUGCCGCGGUGAAUACGUUCCCGGGCCUUGUACACACCGCCCGUCACACCAUGAGAGUUUGUAACACCCAAAGUCGGUGGGGUAACCUUUUAGGAACCAGCCGCCUAAGGGGACAGAGAUUGG
This 600-nucleotide ribosomal RNA is filed under the name Lactiplantibacillus plantarum. RNAcentral describes it as "bacterial SSU rRNA". It matches the Rfam family "Bacterial small subunit ribosomal RNA", at positions 875 to 1478 of the family's 1533-position model. Lineage: Bacteria; Bacillati; Bacillota; Bacilli; Lactobacillales; Lactobacillaceae. The record is from RNAcentral.